UCUCCAUCAGUGUCUGUGCAACGCAAGCCACAGUUUAUAGACCCACAGACUUUAAGACCAGAAGGCUACAGACUAACGUCCACGUUUGCUCCAGAUCAUCCCAUCCUCCCAGGGGGCAGGAAAUGGCUACAAUGGAGCUGGCUCAGGGGCCGGUGACCUUCGAGGAGG
Mauremys reevesii (Reeves's turtle) is the source of this 168-nucleotide long non-coding RNA. RefSeq lists it as uncharacterized. The record is from RefSeq and is a predicted model, not a curated record. The transcript is spliced from 3 exons. NCBI's taxonomy places the organism in Eukaryota, Metazoa, Chordata, Testudines, Geoemydidae.